Molecule: non-coding RNA, 561 nt
Organism: Hydra vulgaris (swiftwater hydra)
Lineage: Eukaryota; Metazoa; Cnidaria; Hydrozoa; Anthoathecata; Hydridae
Source: RefSeq, a predicted model, not a curated record
AAGGCCGCGGCCUAGUUGAACUAUAGAAACUUCGAUCCAUUCCUUGGUUUGACACUUCACUAUAUCUCAAAGAACUGGACCCUAGAGAAGCUGCUGGUGUAUUGUGGAAGUGCAGAAGGUAGACAUACAUCUCAAAACAUUGCUGAACUUCUUGACAAGGCAAUUAGUGAGAUUGUAGGCCUUCCAUCAAAUGUCCACAAGACCUGCACAAGUGAUAAUGCAGCUAAUAUGCUAGCAGCCAUCCCAAAACUGACAGAAGAAAUUCAGGAGGGCCUUGGGUGUGUUGACCAUAUACUUAACCUUGUGGUGACUGAGUGUCUCGGCAUCCCUGAAGUAAAGAAUGCUGUUGAUGCAUUCAAGAAAUUGUCAUCCAGAACUCACAAAAGCAGCAUUGCUACACAGAGGAUUAAGAAAGAGUGUGCCAGGAUAAACAAUCAAUCUAAGGAUGAUACAAACAUUGAAACUGAUUGUUGCCAUCAUUGGUCCACUCACCAAGAUUGAAGAGAUGUCUUUAUUCUUUUCUUCUGACCAAAAACCAACCAUCUGCUAUGUGGUGUCAAA